GGGACGAACGCUGGCGGCGUGCUUAACACAUGCAAGUCGAGCGGUAAGGCCUUUCGGGGUACACGAGCGGCGAACGGGUGAGUAACACGUGGGUGAUCUGCCCUGCACUUCGGGAUAAGCCUGGGAAACUGGGUCUAAUACCGGAUAUGACCUCCUAUCGCAUGGUGGGUGGUGGAAAGAUUUAUCGGUGCAGGGAUGGGCCCCGCGGCCUAUCAGCUUGUUGGUGGGGUAAUGGCCUACCAAGGCGACGACGGGUAGCCGACCUGAGAGGGUGACCGGCCGCACUGGGACUGAGACACGGCCCAGACUCCUACGGGAGGCAGCAGUGGGGAAUAUUGCACAAUGGGCGAAAGCCUGAUGCAGCGACGCCGCGUGAGGAUGACGGCCUUCGGGUGUAAACCUCUUUCAGCAGGACGAAGCGCAAGUGACGGUACUGCAGAAGAAGCACCGGCUAACUACGUGCCAGCAGACCGC
This 474-nucleotide ribosomal RNA is filed under the name uncultured soil bacterium. Its description in RNAcentral is "bacterial SSU rRNA". It matches the Rfam family "Bacterial small subunit ribosomal RNA", at positions 27 to 518 of the family's 1533-position model. The record is from RNAcentral.